UACGUAGGGUGCAAGCGUUAAUCGGAAUUACUGGGCGUAAAGCGUGCGCAGGCGGUUGAUGUAAGACCCGAUGUGAAAUCCCCGGGCUUAACCUGGGAACUGCAUUGGUGACUGCAUUGGCUGGAGUAUGGCAGAGGGGGGUGGAAUUCCACGUGUAGCAGUGAAAUGCGUAGAGAUGUGGAGGAACACCCGAUGGCGAAGGCAGCCCCCUGGGCCAAUAACUGACGCUCGAUGCACGAAAGCGUGGGGAGAAACAGG
Molecule: ribosomal RNA, 258 nt
Filed under: uncultured bacterium
Lineage: Bacteria
Description: partial 16S ribosomal RNA
Rfam family: Bacterial small subunit ribosomal RNA
Source: RNAcentral